GGGGACUUAGCUCAGUGGUAGAGCGCUUGCCUAGCAAGCACAAGGCCCUGGGUUCAGUCCCCA
This is a non-coding RNA of Rattus norvegicus (Norway rat), 63 nucleotides long. Lineage: Eukaryota; Metazoa; Chordata; Mammalia; Rodentia; Muridae. The record is from Rfam.